Molecule: long non-coding RNA, 1456 nt
Organism: Papaver somniferum (opium poppy)
Lineage: Eukaryota; Viridiplantae; Streptophyta; Magnoliopsida; Ranunculales; Papaveraceae
Exons: 2
Source: RefSeq, a predicted model, not a curated record
AUAUGUUACAAAACCUCGCCGUCUUCACCUCUCCAUCUCUAUAGAUCUACUUUGCUCAGCAAUACGAUGAUAGAGAUAAAUGAAAUAUUAAUCUUAUACGAGAGUUCAUACUCACAUAACAGAAUCCACACAAUGAUAACUCUUCUCAAAAAUAUUUUCAUUACCUUCACAGUAAUCUAAAAAUUUAGGUGGUCAUUGUCUUCGAAGUCUACGAGUAGAUCUUUUAGUUGCAGUUCAGGUUAUGAAACUGGGGGUCUUCAUUUUCUGGAUCUUAAAGUUUAUCCUCCAAAUGAAGUUCGAGGUUAUGAUUUUGAUGAUCCAAUUAGGUUAGAGAAAUAUUACUGUUCAACUCUUGAAUGGUUGGUGACAUAAUGCAAAAUAAUUUAUAGAGAAUUAAUUUUGAGAUCGGUGGUAAACUAUAAUGGAACAUGUUAUAUAUUAGUACUAAUAAUCAGUUUAUGUAUUUGGAAAAUCAAAUGGGUUAGCUUAUGGAAUUUUGAUUGUCAUAUUAUGUAUGUUUCUUCAUUUAAUCUGCAUUAUGUAAAUUCUUUUAUUUUUGAGCAAUCCUCAUAGAGGGUCAAGCUUCAUAGAAGGACCACGUCUCAGUCAAUCAAAAUGAGUUAUGGUGUCUUCAAUUAAUCUUUCCUACAAUCUGUUUCUCAAAACCCCAUUAAUCUUCAUAGAAGGACCACGUUUGUAUAAUCUGUUUCUCAAAACCCCAGUUCAAGAAGAAAUCAGAUUCAGAGAAGCUUCAGAUUCAUUGUAGAAGAAAACGAAGAAGAAGGAGGAGGAAUUGAGAUUUUGAUUUUGGUUUGUUGAUUUGAUUUGGAAUAAAAAUGGUUUAGGGUAGAAGAUUGAGAGAGAAAGAGAUAUUAUAAGAAGGUGGAGAGAUCGGGGAUUGAUAGAGGUGGAUCAUUUGUUGUUGUUAGAAGGAUUUCACAAGGAUUUGAGAGGCGUGUACUGCUAUGGUUUCAUUCUCCUUCUGAUUCUACAGUCAAUUGUAGCUCGAGGUUCCAAUGCAAGAACGGAUAGUAAGGUGUAUCUGAUCAGAUUAUGGGUGCCAGGCCAUCAGCAGUCCCUGCUUCAUGUACUCAUUCCUGCCUUCUUUGUCGAAUAAGUUGGUGAUGCCCCGACAUCGUGAAACUAAUUGAUCUAGAAUACAGAUGGACAUGGAUGACUAUUUAUUAAAAAUUAAAUCCCGAUAGAUAUUUUUAUAAUGUUUUUUGUUCAUUUACUUAUCUUCUGUGUUCUUAAGUUCGUCAUUUGUAAUCUGUUUAUUUUACUCUUUAUAUGCACUUGUAUUCAUGUAUGUUCCCUAUGUUACGUCUCCAGUUCUCCUUGAGAUUGGCAUUCUCCUGUUGGAAGUGCUCCUUAUUUUGUGUAAAUCGUACUCAAAAUCAAGUUUGUAAAGUUACUAGGCUAUAUCUUAUAAAGUUGGUGGUGUAUUUUAAAUUUC